Molecule: RNA transcript, 2071 nt
Organism: Mytilus californianus (California mussel)
Lineage: Eukaryota; Metazoa; Mollusca; Bivalvia; Mytilida; Mytilidae
Exons: 4
Source: RefSeq, a predicted model, not a curated record
UUGAUCUUGUGUGAAAAAUAGUCAACUUAGUCGUCUAAUACACAAAAUAGAUAUCAUCUUACUUAAAUUAUAAUUAAUUUGAAUUUUUACAGAUUUGAAGUUUUAAAUGAGACACUGAAGUUCCUGUAUGAAGUCAGCCUCGUGUGAAUAAAGGAACAAGUCGACAAGAAGAGGGGCACGUGUUGUUCCCAUGGGAAUGCCGAUUCUUUGUUGAAAUAUACGUCUUCUAAACGUAACAAAUAUGUUGUCAAUCAAGAAAUCAUGCAUCUUGUAAGAUGGUGUGCUUCAUAACAAUUUUGAAAUGGAAGUUAUCAACAAAAAACUUAACCAGCUGAAAAUUGGACAAAAAGCAUCGGCACUAUCGAAACCUGAUUAUGAACAUCAUCUUUCAAAUCAAGAGCAAGGCGAUUGAUUAAUAUUUAUUCGAUCAUCCAAUAAAACACUAUGUAAACACCAGAAACAAUCGCUAUUACUUUAUUUAGGUACAUGUUAACUGAUUCAAAUUUUAUAUAAAACCCUCGUGAUCAUAAUGUUUAAAAAAAAUUGUACUACAGUGUAGUAUCUACCAGAAACUAUUGUACGACGAUGGCGGUGCAUUAAGGAAAUACUGAUGCAAUGUUGAUGAGGGACAUACUUUGGAAGCAGAUAAAGUUAUUAAAGAGAGGCAAAAGAUACCCGUGACCUCCUUUUAUGUUAUACUUUUCGUUUGUUACUGCUUCAAAACAUAUAUUUUAUUGAGAUUAUAUUGCAUAAAAUAGUCCAUAGAAUAUUCUUAACUUGAGUAUCACUACAAAAAGGAACAUGCAUACUGUAUAUGCAUCUCAUCAUUUACACUAAUACUUGGUUUUAAUGGAAGUUUCAAUGAAUAUUACAUCCAUGUGGCUUUUUGCAAUUUCUUUAUUUAUAUUUUGAUGCAACUAAUUUUUGGCUUCGAAUUUUGUAACGACUACUAUAUCAAAGGGACAAUGCAUAUGUUGCCCAAAACUAUUAUACCACUUAUCUCUUUUAAUUGAAACAAUAGGGUUGCACACAUCACUAUCAUGGUGCUUAUCAAUUUAAAUGCAUCUAACUUUUUUUUUCUAAGAUUUAAUCUCUUAGUAUGUUUCACGAUCUUACAGAACCAGUACCGUACUCUCAAGCACAGAUACCAGUUAAAUCGCCUCUCAUGUUUGAUGUUCAUUUAAGACACAAGUUCAAAAUUGGAAGUUUACUAAAUGAAUAUUAUUGUGUUUUAAUGAAUAAGCUGUUGGUGUUUACCGAUGGUGACAAUGACAGAUUACUAAUCUUCAAUAGAGAUGGAAGUUACAACCGAGAGAUUGAACUGUAUGGCACACCGUGGUAUAUAUCAGUGAUAAAUGACAGCGAUAUCGCUGUCUUAUACAAUACUACUAAAUAUAUUAUAGAUAUAAUAAGUAUAAAAACUGGAACAUUAUCACAUAGUGUCAAAGCAAGAGGUCACAUCAGGGUGAUAUCAUUUGAAAACGGACUAUUGUUUGUUGUUACUGGGAACAUGAUCGAUGUUAUGAAUAUCACAGGUGAACCUAUCCGAUCAUUUCCCGUUCCUCCUUCACAUGUCUUACAAAAACCAAAUGUUAAAAGCAAAACAUUCCUCCCAUGCCCAACUCCUUCCUCGUUUGGAUGGAACAUAGCAAACCAUAAAAACAGGCUAUUUCUUACUAACGCCUUCAAUAAUACUUUAUGCUGCUGUGACCUGUUUGGAUCAGUCAUUUGGAUUUUUAAUGAUGAUACGAUGAAAUAUCCGUUCGGAAUUACAACAGAUGGCAAUGGUAAUGUGUAUUUGACGUGUAAUGACUCUAGCAAUGUUAUCGCUAUAUCGUCUGAUGGCAAACAUCAUAAAGAAAUACUUAACGAGGACGAUGGAUUGAGGAGGCCGUCAGGAAUUUGUUAUGACAAAUUAAAUGACCGUCUGUUAGUGUGUGACGAAGGGAAUGGUCAGGCAUUUUUGUACGAUAUUAAACAUUCAACUUAAAUCAUAUAAACUUUGAUUGAUCGAAGAUUCAGCAUGUAUUUAAACAUGGUUCCCGAUUUCGAUUAAAUCACCCAUAACUUG